RNAcentral lists this ribosomal RNA (210 nucleotides) under uncultured bacterium. Its description in RNAcentral is "partial 16S ribosomal RNA". It matches the Rfam family "Bacterial small subunit ribosomal RNA", at positions 1292 to 1500 of the family's 1533-position model. The record is from RNAcentral.
UUCGGAUUGCAGUCUGCAACUCGACUGCAUGAAGCCGGAAUCGCUAGUAAUCGCGGAUCAGAAUGCUGCGGUGAAUACGUUCCCGGGUCUUGUACACACCGCCCGUCACACCAUGGGAGUCGGAAAUGCCCGAAGCCGGUGGCCUAACCGAUAAGGGAGGAGCCGUCGAAGGCAGGUCUGAUGACUGGGGUGAAGUCGUAACAAGGUAUC